Pantherophis guttatus is the source of this 761-nucleotide long non-coding RNA. RefSeq lists it as uncharacterized. Lineage: Eukaryota; Metazoa; Chordata; Lepidosauria; Squamata; Colubridae. The record is from RefSeq and is a predicted model, not a curated record.
CUGAGGAGCUCCAGGAAAUGAAGUAGAAGAAGAAAUGCCUAGAGGAUCAGUUCUCAACCAGGGGACAUAUGGCCUAAUAUAGUUCAAGGGGUCCACAAGUGAAAAGCAUGUUAACAGUACCAUGGCACAUGCCAAGUGGUGGAACAGAAAAGCAAAGUAUAUUAUAUUACUGCUUUACAGAAGAAAACGCAGCAGUCCCAUGUCUGUACUCAGUAACAAGACCUGUUUGGGAUGGGAGAAACAGGAGAAAAUUGGGCAGAGUAGAUACUCUAUAGACCGAUUCUAUAGAACCGGUAGUAAAACCGGUGGGAGGCUCCGCCCACUGACCCUGACAUCAUCAGAAGUGAUCUGCGCAUGCGCAGAAGCAAGGCGCAUGUGCAGAAGCAAGGUGCACAUGCAGAAGCAAGGCACACACGCAGAAGCAAGGCGCACAUGCAAUCCCAUUGCAAACCGGUAGUAAAGGCCUUUCCAUGUGUUAGAAGACACACAAGAGUGCAAAGGAAAAGAUGCCUUCUAAUGGAGAACCAUUGCAUAUAUAAAGCUGACCAAGUCCAUCUUGAGGAGAGAGGGGCCUGAGGAACAUCUUCAAGGCUAUUAUGAGGACUAUUUGAAGCAUUUGACAGAUAAAGUCAUUCUGAUUGUCAACUAAAACUUUUCAUGGCAGCCAGCUAGUUAACUGCAGUUAUUUCUGCCCAUUUCACAAAUCCAACAAGGCAGGCAUGUUCCCUUCAUUAAACAAUGUCAUUUGAUGGGACCUCAGA